CAGGAAGAGGGUUAGAGUGUAGAGAGAGUCGGCAAGCAGGAAGAGGGUUAGAGUGUAGAAAGAGUCGGCCUCGUCGCGGACUGGGUGACGCGACGGCGGGGUGGGUGACGCGGUGGCGGGAGCGGGCACCCUGUGCAGGCGAGGGUUUGGCACGGAGGCGGCGGAGGGAGAGGGGUAGGAGGGGCAGGAGGGGGAGGCUGGGUGGGGCGAGAGUGGCCUCUGCCUCGUCCAGUCUAGGUAGGCGGGUUAGCGAGCGAGCGCGCGGCCCUGCUGCUGCUGCUGGAGCGGAGGCGCACGUACACGAGCGCUUGCCGACUGGUCUAGCUCGCGCGGUCGGACUAACGAGGCAGCGCGGCAGCAGCCCCGUCCACGUGCGUGCGCAGGUCGCCGCUUGGGAUCAACAUGGAGCCUCGCCUCUGCCGCGGAAGGGCUUGUGGAGACAGACCGUGUUCGGGGAGACUUCUAUUCUACACGCCGUUCACUCUAUCAACCAGUCCACUUUCAGUCGUAAGAACCACCUUCGGGACAACCAUUUAUUGACGUAUUCAACGUAUUAUACGACGACUACUACUCUUGCUGCUUUUUUUGAUUCAUACGAUCGAUUCUUCAACUACCAUUACUGCUGUUUUUCCCACACCACUUAGAAAGAUAUAACGAUGAAUGGGCCUAUACAUUCACCUCAUCAUGAAUUAAUCACCGAUCCGUUACAUUACUUGUGCAUACCCACUCGUCUUUAUUCAUGAGGCUGAAGUCUAAAGUUAGAAGACUUCAUGACCAAAAUUUGACCGUCGUAUGUUGAUAGUAAACAGGUUCGGUCGACCAAUUAAGGUAGAAAGAUCAUGAGGCUGAAGUCUAAAACUAGAAGAUCCUGAGAUCUUAAAUUCUAUAAUUCCAAUCAGAAUACACUAAAGGCUUUUAACUUUACCUCCGAGGUAACCACGGAGGUCAAUCAUCUAUAUAUAUUCUUAAAGGUCAUACCAAGUCAAAACCUUUGAGACAACCAAACUUUGAAUAGUUUAAGUUGAGACUUUAUAACUAAACUUUGAUACACCACGGUUAUACUAUCAGUCUAUCACUUCGUAUAGAUUAUUA
Molecule: ribosomal RNA, 1092 nt
Filed under: Triticum aestivum (bread wheat)
Lineage: Eukaryota; Viridiplantae; Streptophyta; Magnoliopsida; Poales; Poaceae
Description: partial small subunit ribosomal RNA
Source: RNAcentral